RNAcentral lists this ribosomal RNA (581 nucleotides) under Klebsiella variicola. Its description in RNAcentral is "partial 23S ribosomal RNA". It matches the Rfam family "Bacterial large subunit ribosomal RNA", at positions 2242 to 2822 of the family's 2925-position model. Lineage: Bacteria; Pseudomonadati; Pseudomonadota; Gammaproteobacteria; Enterobacterales; Enterobacteriaceae. The record is from RNAcentral. RNAcentral also lists the same sequence under 4 other names.
GGGUUGCGGACAGUGUCUGGUGGGUAGUUUGACUGGGGCGGUCUCCUCCCAAAGAGUAACGGAGGAGCACGAAGGUUAGCUAAUCCUGGUCGGACAUCAGGAGGUUAGUGCAAUGGCAUAAGCUAGCUUGACUGCGAGCGUGACGGCGCGAGCAGGUGCGAAAGCAGGUCAUAGUGAUCCGGUGGUUCUGAAUGGAAGGGCCAUCGCUCAACGGAUAAAAGGUACUCCGGGGAUAACAGGCUGAUACCGCCCAAGAGUUCAUAUCGACGGCGGUGUUUGGCACCUCGAUGUCGGCUCAUCACAUCCUGGGGCUGAAGUAGGUCCCAAGGGUAUGGCUGUUCGCCAUUUAAAGUGGUACGCGAGCUGGGUUUAGAACGUCGUGAGACAGUUCGGUCCCUAUCUGCCGUGGGCGCUGGAGAAUUGAGGGGGGCUGCUCCUAGUACGAGAGGACCGGAGUGGACGCAUCACUGGUGUUCGGGUUGUCAUGCCAAUGGCACUGCCCGGUAGCUAAAUGCGGAAGAGAUAAGUGCUGAAAGCAUCUAAGCACGAAACUUGCCCCGAGAUGAGUUCUCCCUGAGACU